RNAcentral lists this long non-coding RNA (409 nucleotides) under Vitis vinifera (wine grape). RNAcentral's name for it is "long non-coding RNA (VVIN_LNC007825)". Lineage: Eukaryota; Viridiplantae; Streptophyta; Magnoliopsida; Vitales; Vitaceae. The record is from RNAcentral.
GCCAUAAUAAAAUGCCUAGAUUGCGAAAUCUCUGCUAUGAUAUCGUUUUCCUGGAGUUCUAUGGCUCAUCAUUUCCUCACCGUGGCAUUGAUGGCAAAAUUUCUCCCAUUACUGCCUUUAUCCUUCACCCACUGGGCUGCAAAAUCUCUUACAAUAUUUGAUUUAUGUUGCUGGAGUGGAAAUGUGAGAGAAUUGUGCAGAUGACUGAGAAAAAAACAGAGGGCCCGCGUGGGGUCAUGGGAUCCUGGCCUCACAGCUGGCAAAACGCGCUCCAAACUUGGUUUGCACUUGCCUUGCUCAUCACUUUAGCGAGUGAUUGGGGCUGGGAUUUUUCAAUGCUCUAAAAAGCAUAGGUGGCAAGGCAGGGCAUGUGGAGAGAGUGGACUCCAAACAAAUGUACAUGGCAACA